RNAcentral lists this ribosomal RNA (274 nucleotides) under uncultured bacterium. RNAcentral describes it as "partial 16S ribosomal RNA". It matches the Rfam family "Bacterial small subunit ribosomal RNA", at positions 523 to 796 of the family's 1533-position model. The record is from RNAcentral.
AUACAGAGGGUGCAAGCGUUAAUCGGAAUUACUGGGCGUAAAGCGCGCGUAGGUGGUUCGUUAAGUUGGAUGUGAAAUCCCCGGGCUCAACCUGGGAACUGCAUCCAAAACUGGCGAGCUAGAGUAGGGCAGAGGGUGGUGGAAUUUCCUGUGUAGCGGUGAAAUGCGUAGAUAUAGGAAGGAACACCAGUGGCGAAGGCGACCACCUGGGCUCAUACUGACACUGAGGUGCGAAAGCGUGGGGAGCAAACAGGAUUAGAAACCCUAGUAGUCC